ACUCAAAUGAAUAGACGGGGACUUGCACAAGCAGUGGAUUAUGCGGUUUAAUUCGAUGACAAACGAAAAACCUUACCAAGGUUAGAAAUCUACGUGAAGCCAAGCAGAAACGUUUGGCGUCCGCAAGGACUCGUAGACAGGUGUUGCAUGGCCGUCGUCAGUUCGUGAUUUGAAUUGUUCCCUUAAGUGGGGUAACGAACGCAACCCUCGUUGCCAGUUAUAUAUGUCUGGCGAGACUGCCCCCGUUCGUGGGCAGGAGUCCGGGAAGGACUCGUGAGUACGAACGGGGGAGGAAGGCGAGGAUGACGCCAGGUCAGCAUGACCCUCUGAUACCUUGGGCCACACGCAUAAUACAAUCGCAUCUACAACGGGUCGCGACGGGGUAACCCUGAGCUAAUCCUAAGAAAAGGUGCGCCAGUUCGGAUUGGGGGCUGAAACUCGACCCCAUGAAGCCGGAAUUGCUAGUAAUCGCGGGUCAGCUAUACCGCGGUGAAUACGUUCUCAAGUCUUGUACACACCGCCCGU
RNAcentral lists this ribosomal RNA (525 nucleotides) under uncultured bacterium. RNAcentral describes it as "partial 16S ribosomal RNA". It matches the Rfam family "Bacterial small subunit ribosomal RNA", at positions 899 to 1397 of the family's 1533-position model. The record is from RNAcentral.